GCGAACGCUGGCGGCAGGCCUAACACAUGCAAGUCGAACGGAUCCUUCGGGAUUAGUGGCGGACGGGUGAGUAACACGUGGGAACGUGCCCUUUGGUUCGGAACAACUCAGGGAAACUUGAGCUAAUACCGGAUGUGCCCUUCGGGGGAAAGAUUUAUCGCCAUUGGAGCGGCCCGCGUCUGAUUAGCUAGUUGGUGAGGUAACGGCCCACCAAGGCGACGAUCAGUAGCUGGUCUGAGAGGAUGAUCAGCCACACUGGGACUGAGACACGGCCCAGACUCCUACGGGAGGCAGCAGUGGGGAAUCUUGCGCAAUGGGCGAAAGCCUGACGCAGCCAUGCCGCGUGAAUGAUGAAGGUCUUAGGAUUGUAAAAUUCUUUCAGCGGGGACGAUAAUGACGGCACCCGCAGAAGAAGCUCCGGCUAACUUCGUG
Molecule: ribosomal RNA, 432 nt
Filed under: uncultured bacterium
Lineage: Bacteria
Description: partial 16S ribosomal RNA
Rfam family: Bacterial small subunit ribosomal RNA
Source: RNAcentral